Non-coding RNA from Podarcis lilfordi (Lilford's wall lizard), 5143 nucleotides. Lineage: Eukaryota; Metazoa; Chordata; Lepidosauria; Squamata; Lacertidae. The record is from the annotation of a GenBank genome assembly.
UUUAAAUAUACCUUCCUGAAGAAACCAGAGGCCUUUCUCCUGGGCAUAGUCGGCCAAUUGGUGCCAAAGAAGGACAGAACUUUCUUUAUGUAUGCUACAACAGCAGCAAGAAUACUUAUUGCAAAGUAUUGGAAGACACAAGAUUUACCCACUCUGGAAGAAUGGCAGAUGAAGGUGAUGGACUAUAUGGAACUGGCGGAAAUGACUGGCAGAAUCCGAGACCAGGGAGAAGAGUCGGUGGAAGAAGAUUGGAAGAAAUUUAAAGACUAUUUACAGAAAUACUGCAAAAUUAAUGAAUGUUAGAAUGAUGUCAGAAUGAAAUUAAGUGGUCUUAGCAGCAAUGUUAUAAAGGUGUAUGCACAAAUGGAUUGUUAACAGUUGAGAAUCUAAAGUUAUAAUAUGUUAAGUUAAAGGAUUAAGAUAAAAACAAAGAGGGAAAGGAAUUGCUGAAUUAACUAAUAGAACUGGAAUACAAAAAAGGGAGGUGUGAGGAAGUCAGGGAAGUAAGGAAAUGAAAUGUAAGUUAUGGAAAGAUCGAUGUGUUUUUCUUUUAAGUGUUUUUUAUCUUUUUUCUGUAUUUUGUAUUUUGUAAUUUUUUCUUUUUUAUUUCUUUUCCUUUUUCUUUUCUGUUUACCUAUGUAAUCUUUUCUUUGAAACUUUAAUAAAUAGCAUUUAAAAAAAAAAAGGAGGGAAUUCCUUCUGUUUCAUGGGCACAAACCAUUUAAGGCUUUAUAGUGUGUCCAGAAGCAAACUGGUAACCUGUGCAGCUGCCACCAGAUCAGUGUAACAUGAUCCCUUGGGCCAGCACCCAGGAGCUCAUAAUAAAAUAAAAAUCUGAAUCCCAUUGGCUGAAGGCUGCUAUUUCAUCUAGGAGCUGAAAGAUCACUUCUAAAUAGCAAGAAAAAGAAUAUUGGGAAAGAUAAUUUUUGAGCUGGGAGGGAAAGGGGUCAAGCAGUUUUUCCUCACUGUCCUUCCACCACUUACGUCAGGGAUGGGGUACCCAUGGCCUUCCAUCAUCCUGGACCACUGGACAUGCAAGCUGUAGCCGACAGAAUUUGAUGUUUGACAACAGCUGGAAGGCCACAGAUUCCCCACAGCCAACUGGUAGACUCACUACCUCCUUGGAAAUGAUAUAAAUAAACAAUAUGUAAUGUGACCAUUGGUUUUGUCUAAUUCAUGCAGCUCUUUACAUCUCAACACACAUUCAUAAAAUACAAAGUGAAUGAUUUUCUGUUUCUUAUUCUUCGUUGUCAUCUCCCAUUCAUAGUGCAGUAGAGGGGGAGUAGGGAGCCAUUUCUUUAGAAUACCAAUUUAUAAAACCAGAGGGUUUCCCCCCUUCUUCUGGCAGCUAACCCUUUUGAUUUCUUACAAGCUACAGGGUUGUAAUUCUUCAGUGAAAACAGCCAGAAGCAGAACACAAAAUGACCUUCAGCAACACGACUGGAUGUUAUGAUAAAAUAUAAUGAGAUAAAUUUUGAAAGAGACAACUUUUGACUGAAAAAUUAUAGCACUUAUAAGAUGAAAACUUCAGAUACUUGAACAAAAUGUUAUCAGUGCUUGAAAUCCAAAGGAAUAUAUAAUUAAAUGUCAUUAAGGGGGUCUCUUUCCAUGUUGUUUAUACAGUAAAAACUCUAUGGAAAUGCUGUUAGUUUCAUUUUAAAUUGUCAGUUUGGCUCAUGAGCUUAAUACUUGUAUAGAAUUUUCUUUCUGCUAAAUUAUUUUUUUUAAAAAAACCCCAAACCUACCUUACACACAUUGGUUGAGCUGGGACAGAAUAUAGUGCCUUCCAGAUAUUGGAGGACUACAACUCCCAUCAGCCCCCACCAGCAUGGCCAAUGGUCAAGGUCAAGCAACACCUGGAAUGUACUACAUUGUCUAUCCAUGCAUUCAGUCAGCUGUGGAGAACCUUUGAACUACAGCUCCUAUAAUUGGCCAUGCUUGCUGGGGCUGAUGGGAGUUGUAGUUCACAAACAUCUGGAAGGCCAAAGGUUCCCCACCCUGGCACUAAACUAUAGUUUGGCAGUACUGGAUUUCCUGAACUUGCAAAUUGGGUUCUGAAUCAUAUCUCGUGGUUCCAGCAUGCAUCCCUAGUUCAAGCACAGAGCUCAUUCCUGAUCCUCCUAGCCAUGAUUUGGAGGACGGGAAACAUUCCAUCUGAACCUUCCCCAUGAAUGAUAUCAAAUCAGCUUAACUUAAUUGGGAGUCCCGAUGUUUAAGUACUGUAUUGAUAGAUGUAAGAAUCCCCCCAUUGCUGUCUCUGCAACCAUUCAUAAUUUUAUAAGCCUGUCAUCAUUUUAUUCUAAUCUAAAACAGCUCAAACUCUGCAGCCUUCCUUUAUAGAAAAGUGUGCUAAACACCUUGAUAAUUUUAGUUGAAUUUCUGCAUUAAGAAAAAUCUCUAUUUUCGUUUGAAUGGAAUGACCAAGAUUGUACAGAAUAUUAUAUAUUUUAACAGACUGCAGAUUUAUAUAUUGGCAUUAUUUUUACUGAUCUCGACUGCUGGUUGAAACCUUGUAAUGAGCUAAAAUUUUUGGUUUGGUUUUGUUUCUGCUGUGCAAUUCAACAUAAAAAGAAUAUAUGGGACUGAAAUUAAUUCUGUCCACUCACUGGGUACGAUUGACAAGCAUUCUAGAGGAUGCCGUGUUGGUACAUGAAAAUAGCAUAAAAAUAUAGCUAUUCUUAAGUAAAUAUUUAUCAUUCUAUUCAUCUGAUAGGAGCAUUGCAGAGUUUACAGGAAGUUCAGAUGGAUUGCACCCAUGGAUUGAUAGAAUGUAUGCAGACAUUGCAGGGCUGUAUGGAUGAGCCCGGGGUGGGGAACUCCCCCCCCCCCAUGUUGCUGAAUUACAGCUCUGAUCAUUUCUGCCUUGCUGGAAUCAUGGGGUUUUUAGUUCAGCAACAUCUGGAGGGCCAGUGGACUAGCCCCACAUCUCCUCUAUGGGCUAGUCUCCUAUCAAUGCAUGCAGCAGCCACGCCCUCUGCCACCCACAACUUCAGCCAAUAUGUGAAGUGGCUCUUUGUGUUCUGAGUGUCAGGGGCAGUCGGAAGCAGAGAGACAUCUUCCUGCCUCUGAGUCCGUAUCAUUGCAAGGCCAGAGAUGAGCCAUUGGCUGUCUAUGACAUUGGACUGGGUAGGUUCCACCAGUACAUAUUUGUAGCUGGUAGGUGCAUUUGUGGUCCUCUGCAAAGAGUACUUUGCAUGCCCUGUCUCAACGGAGCCAUUUUACAUGCACAUUUCAGCUCACAGUAGCUUUGUCAGGCUCCUGGUGGAUCCAUUCUGAGUUUAGCCCGGCUUGGCUACUUACCCUUUAUCACAAUUGACAGCUAUCAGCUAUUUUUGUCUUAUGGUAAUUCUGCCUCAAGAAUAAUUUUUGAGCUACAAAUCAGGAGUGCCAUAGUUUCCAUUUUGAACAUAGACUCUGGCCUUGUAUCAAUCAGCACCCUAUGUCCAAUCAUGCCCAGUUUUGUCUACUUCAACUCAGUGGUGUAGCUAGCCGAUUGGGUGCCUGGUGUGGGGGCGUGUCCUGCAGCCAGGGGCAGGGCAAUCUGCUCCCAUGGGGGCGGAUUGAGCCUCUUCAAUGCUUGGAGCCUCUCUGACGCCUUCCCCUCACCUGUAGGGUGGCUGAGAGAGAGGCAGUAGGCAGACACAAGUCCCACACUGCCAUUUUAGGCAGCGGGGAACCUGUAGGCACCUAACACGUCACUCCUAAAAAGUUUCAUGAGCCCUAUUUUUUAAAAAACUCAUUUUGUCCCCCCCCCCCCAGUGAUGACACGCAGGACACACACCCUGCACCCCUUCCUCCUCCACUGCUUCAACUGUCAAUGGUUCUCCAAGUUCUCAGACAGAAGUUCUUCACAUCCCCUACUACCUGAUCCUUUUUAAAGUAUAUAUGUCAGAUAAAGAUGAAUGUAUUGCCAAGAAUGUUAUUUUUGUUUCAAUCAUUGCAAAUCUUGGACAAAAUGGACUGUUUCAAGAAGUGGCAGAGAGAUAUUUCUAGAUUUGUCUGGCAGGGCAAGAAGCCCAGAAUAAAAUUUAAAAUAUUAACUGAUGCAAAGGACAGAGGUGGAUUUGCCCUGCCAGACCUCAAACUUUAUUAUGAAUCAGCAGCAUUCUGCUGGUUGAAAGAAUGGCUGCUUCUUGAGAACACAGACAUUUUGGAUUUAGAAGGUUUCAAUAAUGUUUUUGGGUGGCAUGCAUAUUUGUGGUAUGACAAGGUUAAAGCACAUAAAGCAUUUAAAAACCAUAUUGUUAGGAAAGCAUUGUUAAAUGUCUGGAUAAGAUAUAAGGACUUACUUGAAAAUAAAACCCCAAGGUGGUUGUCACCAAUGGAAGCAAAGGCUCAGAAAAGGCUCAAUAUGGAGGCCAAAUGGCCGAAAUAUUGGGAAAUUUUGGAACAAGAAGGAGACAAAUUGAAAUUGCAGAGUUUUGAGAAAUUAAAAGAUAAAGUGUGAGACUGGCUUCAUUAUUAUCAGAUAAUGGAGGCAUAUAAUUUGGAUAAGAAAAUUGGCUUCCAGGUGGAAAAAUCAAAACUAGAAACAGAACUGUUAGAACCCAAAACUAAGAUUUUGUCAAAGAUGUAUAACUUGCUGUUGAAAUGGAAUACUCAGGAUGAAACGGUGAAAUCUGCUAUGAUUAAAUGGGCACAAGAUGUUGGACAUAAUAUUAUGUUUGCUGACUGGGAACAGUUGUGGACCACAGGUAUGAAAUUUACGGCAUGCAAUGCCCUAAGAGAGAAUAUUAUGAAAGUGAUAUACAGGUGGUACAUGACACCAGUCAAGCUUGCAAAAAUCUAUCAUUUGCCCGAUAAUAAAUGUUGGAAAUGUAAAGAAAACGAAGGUACAUUCUUUCACCUUUGGUGGACGUGCCCAAGGAUUAAGGCUUUCUGGGAGAUGAUCUAUAAUGAAUUGAAAAAGGUAUUUAAAUAUACCUUUCUAAAGAAACCAGAGGCCUUCCUGUUGGGCAUAGUCGGCCAAUUGGUGCCAAAGAAGGAUAGAACUUUCUUUAUGUAUGCCACAACAGCAGCAAGAACACUUAUUGCAAAGUACUGGAAGACACAAUACCUACCCACUCUGGAAGAAUGGCAGAUGAAGGUGAUGGACUAUAUGGAAUUGGCGGAAAUGACUGGCAGAAUCCGAGACCAGGGAGAA